RNAcentral lists this ribosomal RNA (464 nucleotides) under uncultured bacterium. RNAcentral's name for it is "partial 16S ribosomal RNA". It matches the Rfam family "Bacterial small subunit ribosomal RNA", at positions 339 to 795 of the family's 1533-position model. The record is from RNAcentral.
CUACGGGUCGCAGCAGUGGGGAAUAUUGCACAAUGGGCGCAAGCCUGAUGCAGCCAUGCCGCGUGUAUGAAGAAGGCCUUCGGGUUGUAAAGUACUUUCAGCGGGGAGGAAGGGAGUAAAGUUAAUACCUUUGCUCAUUGACGUUACCCGCGGAAGAGGCACCGGCCAACUCCGUGCCAGCAGCCGCGGUAAUACGGAGGGUGCAAGCGUUAAUCGGAAUUACUGGGCGUAAAGCGCACGCAGGCGGUUUGUUAAGUCAGAUGUGAAAUCCCCGGGCUCAACCUGGGAACUGCAUCUGAUACUGGCAAGCUUGAGUCUCGUAGAGGGGGGUAGAAUUCCAGGUGUAGCGGUGAAAUGCGUAGAGAUCUGGAGGAAUACCGGUGGCGAAGGCGGCCCCCUGGACGAAGACUGACGCUCAGGUGCGAAAGCGUGGGGAGCAAACAGGAUUAGAUACCCUAGUAGUC